RNAcentral lists this transfer RNA (91 nucleotides) under Marinobacter sp. RNAcentral's name for it is "tRNA-Ser". It matches the Rfam family "tRNA". Rfam says of the family: Transfer RNA (tRNA) molecules are approximately 80 nucleotides in length. The record is from RNAcentral. Lineage: Bacteria; Pseudomonadati; Pseudomonadota; Gammaproteobacteria; Pseudomonadales; Marinobacteraceae. RNAcentral also lists the same sequence under 6 other names.
GGUGGGUUGGCAGAGUGGUUUAAUGCAGCGGUCUUGAAAACCGCCGAAGGUUAAUAGCCUUCCCGGGGUUCGAAUCCCUGACCCACCGCCA